This is a long non-coding RNA of Lepus europaeus (European hare), 682 nucleotides long. RefSeq lists it as uncharacterized. The record is from RefSeq and is a predicted model, not a curated record. NCBI's taxonomy places the organism in Eukaryota, Metazoa, Chordata, Mammalia, Lagomorpha, Leporidae. The transcript has 3 exons.
ACAGAAUCAUCCUGACACUGUGCCUUCUCCCAAGCCAUAUCUGAAUCUAAACCUCCUCCUUUUCUUUCUCCCUCAUCCCUAGACCUCCCCAGGGCUCCAUCCAGUUUAGUCAUUUCCAGCAUCAAUCCUCGCUCAGCCACUCUUCAGUUCCGACCAUGCUACGAUGGGAAGACAUCCAUCUGCAGUGGAUUGUGGAGGGGGCAGGCCUGUUUGAGUCAUUGAAUGUAUGGACUGAAUUCAAGUGUAAGGCUUUGUUCGACGUAAACAGGAUGAUGAGGGGCCUCUCCAUCUGCACCACCUGCCUCCUGAGCAUCAUCUAGGCCAUCACCAUCAGUCCUAGCACCUCCUGGUGAAGUAACACAGAAAGAAAAUGACAGAGAAGGAGAGUGUGAGAGAGAGGACUAAAUGCCCAGAAGCUGGGAUUGAGCCAAGCUGAAGUGAAAAGCCAGGAACUCCAUCUGAGUAUCCAAUGUGAGUAUCAGAGACCAAAGUACUUGAGUCCUCAUCUUCCACCUAACAGGGUGUGCAUUAGUAAGAAGCUGGGUAGGAAGCAAAGUAGGACUUGGUCUAAAAGCACGCCAAAUAGAAUGCGAGGGGCCCAAGCAGUGGUUUAACCUAUGCGCCCUGAUAUUUUAUUCAUUUAAAAUACUAUAUGCUUACAUAUAAAUAUAUGUAAAUGGGA